RNA transcript from Coffea arabica (coffee), 2286 nucleotides. RefSeq lists it as uncharacterized. The record is from RefSeq and is a predicted model, not a curated record. NCBI's taxonomy places the organism in Eukaryota, Viridiplantae, Streptophyta, Magnoliopsida, Gentianales, Rubiaceae.
CAAAAAUGCACAAACUGUGUAUGAUUCCCAAACCCUCGUAAAUAACAAACUACUCCUUAGCAAUUUUGGAAGAGAAUUUCGCUAGGGUUUAAUAUCCCCCAUUUCUAGGCUAUCUUCUUCUCCAUUUCCUGCACAGGACACCUGAACCCCUGCUCCUUCUCUCUCGAAUCCAUCCCCGUAUCGAAACCAGCCAAUCCGAAUCUUCAUCGAAUCCCCUUUCUUGGAAGCUAUUACUUUCCUCUAUCAUGGAUAUUGAAGAGGAGAUUAAGGCUCUCCAACUUGACUCCUCUGCAGAAGAUAUUGUUACUGGUAAUGCUAAUGGCGAAGAAGAUGCUAAGCCAAACGAUGUUGUUAAACCUGAUGAAAAAGAUGAAGGUUUGAAAGAUGUGGCAAAUGCAAAUGCUCCCCCCCCAGCUGGUGUUGAGCUGAAAGGCACCUCAGCAGUGAAAGAAAAAGAAACGCCUGCACCUGAAGUUGUUGAAGAUGAGGUGGAAGAGAGCACAAAGCGACAUUUGAAUGUUGUGUUUAUUGGUCAUGUUGAUGCUGGCAAGUCAACUACAGGGGGACAGAUAUUGUUUUUAAGCGGUCAAGUUGAUGAUCGAACUAUUCAGAAAUAUGAAAAAGAGGCAAAGGACAAAAGCAGAGAGAGUUGGUAUAUGGCUUAUAUUAUGGAUACAAAUGAAGAAGAGAGGGUCAAGGGAAAAACAGUUGAGGUUGGACGUGCACAUUUUGAAACAGCGACGACUAGAUUUACGAUUCUGGAUGCUCCGGGUCAUAAAAGUUAUGUCCCCAACAUGAUUAGUGGAGCAUCUCAAGCUGAUAUAGGAGUGCUGGUAAUAUCUGCUCGAAAGGGUGAAUUUGAAACUGGAUAUGAGAAAGGUGGACAGACGCGCGAACAUGUCCAGCUUGCAAAGACUCUUGGAGUCUCUAAGCUACUUGUUGUUGUAAAUAAAAUGGAUGAGCCUACUGUUAACUGGUCAAAAGAAAGAUAUGAUGAGAUUGAGACAAAAAUGCUUCCUUUCCUGAGAUCUUCAGGUUAUAAUGUCAAGAAAGAUGUACAGUUUCUCCCGAUUUCCGGGCUUGUGGGUUCAAAUAUGAAGACAAGAAUAGACAAAAGUAUAUGCCCUUGGUGGAAUGGCCCUUGCCUUUUUGAAGCUCUUGAUGCUGUUGAAAUUCCUGCACGCGAUCCCAAAGGUCCAUUUAGAAUGCCUAUUAUUGACAAAUUCAAAGACAUGGGAACGGUGGUAAUGGGCAAAGUUGAAUCUGGUAGCAUCCGUGAAGGGGAUAAUUUGUUGGUCAUGCCAAACAAGGCUCAGGUGAAAGUUGUUGCCAUCUUCUGUGAUGAAGAUAAAGCUAGGCGUGCUGGACCUGGUGAAAAUUUGCGGGUGAGGAUAUCAGGGGUUGAGGAAGAGGAAGUGUUAGCAGGGUUUGUUUUGAGCAGCGUUGCCAAGCCAAUACCUGCUGUAUCUGAGUUUGUCGCGCAGCUACAGAUUUUGGAAUUGCUGGAUAAUGCUAUUUUUACUGCUGGUUACAAGGCUGUAUUGCAUAUUCAUGCUAUUGUUGAGGAAUGUGAAAUUGUUGAACUAAUGCAGCAGAUUGACCCGAAGACAAAAAAGCUAAUGAAGAAGAAACCUCUUUUUGUAAAGAAUGGUGCUGUUGUCGUUUGUCGUAUCCAGGUGAAUAAUUUGAUGUGUGUUGAGAAAUUCUGUGAUUUUCCACAGCUUGGACGCUUCACUCUUCGAACUGAAGGGAAAACUGUUGCUGUGGGAAAAGUUACUAGCCUUCCAUCCAUAGGUGAUCGUGCUUAAAACAAUUUUGACAUGAGCGGCUUCAACAACUGUCGUGAUCUCUGGCAUAUGAUCCAAGGGCUUGGCUUCGAGUGUAAAAUUUGAACAUACUAGUGCGGCAGCAGAAUGAGGUUUUUACCUAUUAUGGUAUCGGUUGCAGAUGUGGAAGAAGGUUCAUUCGAUGGCUCGUGAAUCGUGAGACUUGUUAUUUUAGUCUGGAAUCUGAAUAGAUUUUCUACUCUUGUGGAUGCUCCCGUCUACAAUGGUUGGUUGGUUAUUGCAUUCAGCUGUCAUUGGGGUAUUUAUGUGAAACAUAGAAGAGUUUUGUAUCUGUAUUUGAAGUAAACCUGCAUUUACUCAUAUCGAUUGGUUUUGAUAGUAGGUUAUACCGAGUAGCAUGCUUUUAUAUCAUGGUCAGUUUUUUGACCAAAUAUUUUUCUGUUCACGAGAUUAAAGUUUAUAUUUAACACAGUCAGAGUUAUAUGUAUUUCCUUCCUUC